RNAcentral lists this non-coding RNA (108 nucleotides) under Kocuria palustris. RNAcentral describes it as "TPP sequence". It matches the Rfam family "TPP riboswitch aptamer (THI element)". Rfam says of the family: Vitamin B(1) in its active form thiamin pyrophosphate (TPP) is an essential coenzyme that is synthesised by coupling of pyrimidine and thiazole moieties in bacteria. The previously detected thiamin-regulatory element, thi box was extended, resulting in a new, highly conserved RNA secondary structure, the THI element, which is widely distributed in eubacteria and also occurs in some archaea. Lineage: Bacteria; Bacillati; Actinomycetota; Actinomycetes; Micrococcales; Micrococcaceae. RNAcentral also lists the same sequence under 1 other name. The record is from RNAcentral.
AUGACCCCACACGGGAGCCCGGGCACGGGCUGAGAGGAAGCUGACGCGGCUUCGACCGUCGAACCUGCUCCGGUUCAUACCGGCGAAGGAAGUGAGAGCUCGAUGCCU